Molecule: transfer RNA, 72 nt
Filed under: Urocitellus parryii (Arctic ground squirrel)
Lineage: Eukaryota; Metazoa; Chordata; Mammalia; Rodentia; Sciuridae
Also listed under: 1 other name
Description: Spermophilus parryii (Arctic ground squirrel) tRNA
Rfam family: tRNA
About the family: Transfer RNA (tRNA) molecules are approximately 80 nucleotides in length. Their secondary structure includes four short double-helical elements and three loops (D, anti-codon, and T loops).
Source: Rfam by way of RNAcentral
AGGGUUGUGGCUCAGUGGUAGAGCACUUGCCUAGCAUGUGCAAGGCUCUGGGUUCGAUCCUCAGCACCACAU